CUCCUACGGGAGGCAGCAGUGAGGAAUAUUGGUCAAUGGGCGCGAGCCUGAACCAGCCAAGUAGCGUGAAGGAUGAAGGUCCUACGGAUUGUAAACUUCUUUUAUAAGGGAAUAAAGUCGCCUACGUGUAGGCGUUUGUAUGUACCUUAUGAAUAAGCAUCGGCUAACUCCGUGCCAGCAGCCGCGGUAAUACGGAGGAUGCGAGCGUUAUCCGGAUUUAUUGGGUUUAAAGGGAGCGUAGACGGAGGAUUAAGUCAGUUGUGAAAGUUUGCGGCUCAACCGUAAAAUUGCAGUUGAUACUGGUCCCCUUGAGUGCAGUUGAGGCAGGCGGAAUUCGUGGUGUAGCGGUGAAAUGCUUAGAUAUCACGAAGAACCCCGAUUGCGAAGGCAGCCUGCUAAGCUGUAACUGACGUUGAUGCUCGAAAGUGUGGGUAUCAAACAGGAUUAGAUACCCUGGUAGUCCACACGGUAAACGAUGGAUACUCGCUGUUGGCGAUAUACUGUCAGCGGCCAAGCGAAAGCAUUAAGUAUCCCACCUGGGGAGUACGCCGGCAACGGUGAAACUCAAAGGAAUUGACGGGGGCCCGCACAAGCGGAGGAACAUGUGGUUUAAUUCGAUGAUACGCGAGGAACCUUACCCGGGCUUAAAUUGCAGACGAAUUACCUGGAAACAGGUAAGCCGCAAGGCGUCUGUGAAGGUGCUGCAUGGUUGUCGUCAGCUCGUGCCGUGAGGUGUCGGCUUAAGUGCCAUAACGAGCGCAACCCCUCUCCUUAGUUGCCAUCAGGUUAAGCUGGGCACUCUGGGGACACUGCCACCGUAAGGUGUGAGGAAGGUGGGGAUGACGUCAAAUCAGCACGGCCCUUACGUCCGGGGCUACACACGUGUUACAAUGGCAGGUACAGAGAGACGGUCCUUUGCAAAACGGAUCAAAUCCUUAAAGCCUGUCUCAGUUCGGACUGGGGUCUGCAACCCGACCCCACGAAGCUGGAUUCGCUAGUAAUCGCGCAUCAGCCAUGGCGCGGUGAAUACGUUCCCGGGCCUUGUACACACCGC
Molecule: ribosomal RNA, 1054 nt
Filed under: uncultured bacterium
Lineage: Bacteria
Description: bacterial SSU rRNA
Rfam family: Bacterial small subunit ribosomal RNA
Source: RNAcentral